GAAAGCAAGGAAACUUACAACAAAGAGUCCCUCCCGACUGUUUACCAAAAACACAGCACUCUGCUAACUCGUAAGAGGAUGUAUAGGGUGUGACGCCUGCCCGGUGCUCGAAGGUUAAUUGAUGGGGUUAGCAUUAGCGAAGCUCUUGAUCGAAGCCCGAGUAAACGGCGGCCGUAACUAUAACGGUCCUAAGGUAGCGAAAUUCCUUGUCGGUUAAAUACCGACCUGCAUGAAUGGCGUAACGAGAUGGGAGCUGUCUCAAAGAGGGAUCCAGUGAAAUUGUAGUGGAGGUGAAAAUUCCUCCUACCCGCGGCAAGACGGAAAGACCCCGUGGACCUUUACUACAGCUUGACACUGCUACUUGGAUAAGAAUGUGCAGGAUAGGUGGGAGGCUUUGAGUAUAUGACGCCAGUUGUAUAUGAGCCAUUGUUGAGAUACCACUCUUUCUUAUUUGGGUAGCUAACCAGCUUGAGUUAUCCUCAAGUGGGACAAUGUCUGGUGGGUAGUUUGACUGGGGCGGUCGCCUCCCAAAUAAUAACGGAGGCUUACAAAGGUUGGCUCAGAACGGUUGGAAAUCGUUCGUAGAGUAUAAAGGUAUAAGCCAGCUUAACUGCAAGACAUACAAGUCAAGCAGAGACGAAAGUCGGUCUUAGUGAUCCGGUGGUUCUGUGUGGAAGGGCCAUCGCUCAAAGGAUAAAAGGUACCCCGGGGAUAACAGGCUGAUCUCCCCCAAGAGCUCACAUCGACGGGGAGGUUUGGCACCUCGAUGUCGGCUCAUCGCAUCCUGGGGCUGGAGCAGGUCCCAAGGGUAUGGCUGUUCGCCAUUUAAAGCGGUACGCGAGCUGGGUUCAGAACGUCGUGAGACAGUUCGGUCCCUAUCUGCCGUGGGCGUAAGAAGAUUGAAGAGAUUUGACCCUAGUACGAGAGGACCGGGUUGAACAAACCACUGGUGUAGCUGUUGUUCUGCCAAGAGCAUCGCAGCGUAGCUAAGUUUGGAAAGGAUAAACGCUGAAAGCAUCUAAGCGUGAAGCCAACUCUAAGAUGAAUCUUCUCUAAGCUCUCUAGAAGACUACUAGUUUGAUAGGCUGGGUGUGUAAUGGAUGAAAGUCCUUUAGCUGACCAGUACUAAUAGAGCGUUUGGCUUAUCUUUAAUAAAGCAU
Molecule: ribosomal RNA, 1160 nt
Filed under: Campylobacter jejuni
Lineage: Bacteria; Pseudomonadati; Campylobacterota; Epsilonproteobacteria; Campylobacterales; Campylobacteraceae
Description: partial 23S ribosomal RNA
Rfam family: Bacterial large subunit ribosomal RNA
Source: RNAcentral